This is a long non-coding RNA of Cuculus canorus (common cuckoo), 9565 nucleotides long. RefSeq lists it as uncharacterized. The record is from RefSeq and is a predicted model, not a curated record. NCBI's taxonomy places the organism in Eukaryota, Metazoa, Chordata, Aves, Cuculiformes, Cuculidae. The transcript has 4 exons.
CUGUCCCUUCCUCGCUGGUGCAGUGGCUCUGGGCUGCCAACAUAGAUAAUUUGAUGAAUUUCAUGUAUUUGCCUUGCCAUCAAAUUGCCGUUUCUUUUACAAGAGAAAAGCGCUCGUGACAAAAAAAAUUCCAGUUGAACCUCAAACUGACAAAUGGACAUCUGCUGGCCAAGUCAGCGAAGAAACGCAUUUGCCUGACGUAGCUCUCGGUUUGAUCCCUUCCCAUCAGCUGAAGCCACAAUAUGUUUGGAUCAGAGACUCAUAUUCUGAACUGAUUACAAAAAUCAGUUCUCACUUAGUAAUAUUUUCUGAAGUGUGACAUUGCAUUGCAUCAUGUUACGCAUGACAUGACAUGAAAUAACAUAACAUUACAUGAUGGGUUAUGACAUAGGGAAGUAAGAUGCAAGUUAAUAUUAUGCAUUACAUAUUACUUUUUUUCUAAACUGUUGGAUCCGAGAGUAUGAUGAGCUGUGAGUGGUGUAUUCUGUGCUGGCUUUAUACAACCACCAUCAUUAUAGUAUCUGAGCAUCCACCAGCUGAUAAUUAAGCUUCUUUUGACAGCUGAAAUCCUUGAAUCUUUCAAUAAGCACAUAUCAUUCUCUAUAUUUAAGUAGUAGUAUUCAUUUGAAGAGCAAGGGAGCAGUGACUCUCUAAGUAUGAAGGGUAAACACAUAGGCAAUAAGAAGUGGUAAAACAACUAAAAUGAUAUGUACUUAUCCUCUAAAUGGAAGGAAGCUGUUUUUCUAAAAUUCUUUAUUGCAUUCACAACAAAGCAGAGGAUACCUUAUAUCACAGUGUAUGUGUUUCUUGAAGAUCCUUUCUGGUAGCUAAUGAUGUUCAGAGAAGGCGAUUUGUUAUCUGAGAGCUAUUUAUGAUGGCCAAGAUAGAAGGGCACUGAAUAAAUAUCUAUAGCUCUCAGGAACUGAAACAUGAUGGUGCAAUAGAUGGAAAGAAAUAUCUCAAAUAAGCAGAGGAACAGAACCUCCCUACCAAAGGUGACUGCAAGUUCAAUAGCUUUUUCUUUGGUCUUUUUUUCAAAGCUGUGAAGCAACCAGAUAAUCUCAAUUAACAAUAUACUUUAAUGGAAAGGAAAAGAUUGCUAUGUGCCUAAGCAGGCUUUGGGGUGUUUGGUGUUUUCUUUUUUCUCUUAGUAUGCACAAGAGGGAUUUUUUUAUCAAUAAGAACCAUAUAAAACAAGACUGACUAGGAGGUCUGUUCAGACUUCCCUGCCAAUGAAACCUGAGACAGAUUAGUAUUAAUAAUUUUUAGAUAAAGCAUGGGCAUGUAGUCACUGGUAGACUCUGAUUCUAUUGAGAGGACCCGAUAUAUGCAGUAUUGUGAAAAUGAAGCUCGGGCUAUUUACACAUAUUAUUAUCAUUGUGAACACCCUUCCUUGCUCCUACUCUCUGACUGAAUUGAGUUUUCUAUGUUUGUGAUGCACACUAAAAAAGUAUAGGGAUAGUAUGAAGAAGAAAUUGCACAAAUCUGUGGUCACAUUUUCGGAAGUGCUGAGCACCUGCCCUUUCCAACUUCAGGAAGGAAAUACAGAGCCUCAGCAGCAGGAAGAUAUUGUUUUGGGCCCCACCAGCCAAAGCCCUGCUGGUGUCUUGAUGCCCUGGUAAUCAUUUCUCCAACAGGGUACAGCUCAGCUUAUUGACCAUGCAGGUGUUAUGCGGAGAAAUUAAAAAUUGAUGGCCAACUUGUAAUAAAUUAGGAGUUAAAGGUACGGAGUGUUUUUUUGUAUAUAUAAUUUAUAUUUAUCUGCUGUCAGACUGCAUUCCACUUAUCCUGGCUCUGUUCCAAGAAUGCAUUAGCAUUACUGUGAUUAGUGUGAGAGAAAUUAGGUCUCUUCAACCUGUAUUUCAAUAGGACUUUAGGACUUCUGUAGCAGGUGACAGGACUUCUUGCCAAGAUGCACAAAUAGAAGGACCAUUACUAAGGCUGAUUUCUGAUGCCAAUUUGUGCUGUUCCUCUUCUCCAUCUAUUAUUUUUCUUUGAUUAAACAAAUUCCUGGAAUGUCAAAUAGAAUGCCUCUAGCAAAGGAGAAAGACUUUCCUUUAUCUGUGCUUACAACAUCAGGAGAGGUAGAUUUGCUUAAUCAGAUGUUGUUAAAUAUGCUCAAAAAGAACCUCUAUACCAUAAAGAGAGAAGUAACGAAAAUAUGUUUCAUUCUGGCACCUUUUAUACACUUCUUAACAUCAGGGAGCACAAUCCCUCCUUGCUUCAGUUGCACCCUGUGCAGCAGAAGAGCUGCAAGUGAGGAAUACAGUGCAUGGCCACAGCAGUGACUGCUAAAUCUAUCGGCAAAGGAUUGCCGCAUCUCUGCACCUGGUUUAAAAAAAGGUGCCAAUCCCUACCAAUUUGGGGUUUUUUCCCCCGGUGCAGGCUUUACAGGUAAAUAUAUUGAUGUCAGUAGCAUGUAUAGACAGACUGGCAUUUGCCGAGCCUGCACUGGCUCAGUGAAGCUUGGCAGGCUGAAUUAGGUGAUAGUAUAAAAAAAAGAAUAGGACUGUUGGCUUUGAUGAAACCAAAGCAUAGCUGCUGUGGCUAAAAACUCAGAUUUUCACUGUCAUGCCUGACAGAGAGUAUUUGCUCAGAAAAAGUUGCAUUUUGUGUUAGAUUACUAGUUGGCAUUUGACUGUAAUUCACAGAGCAAUAAAGGCUACAGAGGGUCUAGUUAGGAAAAAUGCAGCUGCGCAGUAUGUAAUAGCUGCUGGGGCACACAGGCUGUGUUUGAGUUAAUCCACUACCAUCUUUCUUUAUCUUGGUCAGACACCACAUUCAUGUUUUUACCAAAGCAGGAAAGUGACUUUUCGUUAUGCAAACUACUGUUGCUUCAUGGUCUGGGGAGCCCUCAGAGAGGAUAGGGAGAAGGUGUCUUUCCUUCAAUCAAAAAAAGGACAAGAUUACAAAAAAUUAUUUGACAAAUAGGACUGGCUACUGUACAAGAGGUUAAAUCUGUGAUUUGCUGGGGAAUUACAGGCAAGUUGCUUCAUGGUCUUUAUUUUUGGUUUUCCCUUUAUUUGAUCUGUGUUGGUCCCAGUUCAACAAAGAAUUACUCUUCGGGAAAGUUCUUACCGGAUUUAAUGUGAAUUUUUCAGUGCUUCCCUGAACCAAUUCUAGACAUUCUGCAGGAUAUGUAGAUACUGCAUGGGUGUGUAGAAGAGUGAAGGCACAUUGUUCACUGAUUAUCAUGGGCUUAUGACAGGACUAAAACUGCAGUUUGGAAGUGACAAGGUAGAAAUUCUCUGGAUUCUUUUAUUUAAAGCGUAAAUUAAUUUUGCUUGGUCCUUUUUUAUGAAAAACUUCUAUCUAUUUUGAAACUAAUUCAGCUGAAAACCAUGACAAUUAACUGCAAACUUUUCAAUUUUCCACUAGAAUUUCUUGGAUGUCUGAAAAAUCAUGGCAGUCUUGAGUACUUGUCCAAAAAGAUAAUUAUUUUUAAUAAAUAGUAUUAUAUUGAUAUAUGUAUCUUAUAUAUAACUAUAUAUAACUAUCUUAUAUAUAGUUAUGCAUGUUUAUUUCAGAUAUGUUUAAUAAGAAAUAAUAUCUAAUAUUUAUUAAUAAAUAAUUUUAUACAUUAUUUGUUAUAAGAUGAUGCUAUAUUAUGAUAUAAUACAAAUAGCAUUAUAUAAUUACAUGGAAAUAUAGAAUUAAGAAUAAAGAAUUAAGGAUAAAAUAUGUUAUGAUUUUUCUUUGCAAUGGACAAUAUUCAAAUAUUAGAGUGAACAGAUGAAGGGUCUUUCUAACCCCUCCUCCUGCCACUAAUGUCAGUGGCAAAGUGUAGCUCAGAAAUUUGUUCAUACAUUCUCUGUUUCUAAAUGGUAGACUUUUCUACAUGCUUUAUUUUUUUUCUAAUUGAUUUCUUCUUCCUGAAUUUACAGCCAUGCAGCUUUAUUAGAAUCACUUUGUGGACUUGCUCUCAUGUAAUGUUUUGUUGCGAUUAACCCAUUCCACACUAGAGGAAUGUAUGUGUUUCAUUUCCAUUUAUUAUAUGAAGUGGGGGAUACAUCAUUAAGUUUUUGUGUUGCUCAUGUUCAAAGCAAGCUGAUAAGAAGCAGAUACUUGAAGAAAUGGAAAAAAGUAGAUAAAGAUUUCCUCUCCCCCUCAUGACUAGCCUUCCCUUAGAUGAAAUGAAGAAUUUGUGAGUGGACACAAGCAGGUGAUACAAUCGUUUCUUUACCAGUAAGCUAACUGUAUCAGUCAUCUGAAUCUUAGCAUCUAUAGAUAACGAUUUCCUAGUAUGAAGAAUUCACAUAUACAUAUUUCUUACUCUGGUGCCUUCAUGCUGUUUCCUUAGCAAUGGGCUGUGUAUUGUCGUCCGGCUCUGCUGGGUCAGUUGUCAAAGUGUAAUAAUUCACCUAGACAUUUUUCUGGGGGGUAGUGCACUAGUAUUUUUGAAUCAGGAUGCUCUCUGAAAGGAGGCACAAGGUAAGUUUUAAUCUCAUAGCACAAAGGUUGCCUCAGAUACAAACAGCAGUUAGAUGAACAGGAAACAAAGAGACUGUUAAAAAAAAAAAGACAAACUGCACAAAUGAUGCACUUGAGUAGUGAACCUUAUUUGUCAUGCAGAGAUUUGAACUGGUGCUGAUGCAGCAUCCUAGCACCCCAACCCAUAUGAACCUCAACCCCAGACCUUCAGGAGAACAUGUGCGUUCUCCCCAGCAGUGAGAGUGGUGCUGCAGAUUUCAUCCAUGUCAGCGAAUUUAGUUUGGUUGAAAAAGAUUUCUUGGAACUAACUUUUCAUUACAAAGGGUAACCGCUUAAAAAAGAAACACCACCAAGCAAACAAAACCACCUUACAACUGGGAAAACUGUGGCACUUCUCCAUAAAUCUUCUUAAGCUCAUAUAUUUUAUAAGUAUUUAAUGUGAUACCUUGUAGGAAUAGACAGCAGCAGAUGACUGCAACUACUUCAAAGAACAGUUAUUUUCUGUUGUUUCUUUUGCAGUUCGGCCCAAUAGACUUCCUAGCAGAUAUUGCUUGCACAGUGGCACCAUUUCUCUUAGGAUAAUCAGUAUAGUUUGGUAAUAAUGCAGAGCACCAUACGAUUAAAAAUUAAUAGUGAAAUGAUUACAUUAUUCUCUUCUAGCAGAAGAAAGCUCCACCUUACAACAAAGGCCUUUAAAGCACUUUGGCUGUUUUCCAAAAUAGCUAAUUAAUACUCCACCUAGCACUAUUUCUGUGAAGCAGACACACUAUUGCCAGGCAGGAAUUGCUAACCGUCCAUUGAGGAACUGGGCAGGUGGCUGGGAAGGUUCUGCAGUCGGCAGUGCCAGUCAUACCACGCCAGGAAAAUCUGCUCAAAUGGCAACAGCACAGCAAGUCAGUCUUCUCUGUUAUUGGAAUAAUCUGUGACAUUCAAACCUGGGAGACAAUGCUUUGGAAAGUCUAGAGAGACUGGAUUUUCUUUCCUCAACACUAAAACAAAGGCUUUGCAAUGUUACACAUAUUAUUCUGAUCACAAAAGUAUCUUGCAUUAGGGCUUUCAGCAUGAGAUAAUUGACCUUGACAUUGCUUUCAGCUAAGGGCACAUAACUCUUAUCGCAGUGACUUAUCUUGAAGAAAAGCGUGCAACUGCAAAGAAUAUUUACUUACUAUCGUCACUUUUUUUUAUUAUUCUUGAAAACGGUGUACUGCAAGGACAAGUAGGCAGAAGUGUAGUGGAGGGAUGGAAGGCAUUUUAUGUGGAUGAACACAUGAAGAGGUGAUUAUGUAUUGCUAUAAGUCUAAUCCUUGGAUAAACUAUAGUUUGCUAUUAAUUCUUUGGACUUGCUUAGCUGCUACUUAACAUUUCCAUGACUUAACAAUUAUAUUCUUGAGCUAAGAAUAACUUUUCAACAAAAUGUGUAGGGAUUAGAAACAUUGAUAAUUAUAUUAAUUAAUAUUAAUGGGAGUGACAAUAUUUGUAGUCAUAUGACAAACAUGAGGAAAUCAGGGCUUUAAUUUUAUCAAUUAAUUCUCUUUCUAAUUGCUUUCACUAUUCAAUUGUCAGUACGUGUUCCACUUGCAACAAGGAAUGUAUUAAGCAGGAAAUGCAGACCAGAAUUAAGGAGAAAGAGAUGUGUGUUUGUAUAUGGUAUUGUCUGUUAUCCAGAAACAUAUUUAGUCUUGUCUGUGGACUUUGCAUUUUUUCUCUCUAUUAUAAAUGCCAAUCACCUGGAGUAAUGGCUUCAGUCUCAAUUAAGAUGGGUAGUAAGGAGAAAGGCAGUCAAAAGCAGACAAUGCCACUUAUUGAAGAGCUUUCCAAAUUAUCAAAUAUCCUUCCCACACCUUCCCACAGGUGCAGGAUGAGCACAGGACAACAAGACAAACAGACCGUGGAAAAGAGAGUUCAGUGUUCAUAUCUAUACUGACGACUCAGAUUUGUUUAAUACAUCUGAUUGGGUUGAAGUUGUCUCUAGAGGAAGGCAAAGAGCUGCAGUCCAUUGGUCUUAAUCCUUCCCUAUACUCCCGUAUCUUAUACUGCUCCACCAGCUCAACACCACAGUAAAAUUAACAUCAUCUACCCUCCACACUCCCCGUUGUGAAGGAAAAUCCCUCACCAGAUCUCUUGCUGAGCAUCGCAGCUGCCACAGAGUCUUCUUGGCACCAUGAAGGAGGCAAAACCCUCCCUGCAGAUGUGUCCAGUGCAGGGCAGAGCCAUGAGAUUAUGUUCUUGCUUGGUGUCCCACCAGACCCGAGGUGUGCAAAACCUCAGUUGUAAAGGCAGAGGCAUCCUUCAGGAAAAAAAAUCAUGCCAUAAAAUUUUCUGCAUUAAAAUCUUCAUGUCCUGAAAUUGCUCUCCUCAGAGAGAUUUCAGCCCAUAAAGCAAUCUUAAUGCAUUAAAGUUUCCUUCCACACAGAGCCUUCACCGCAUAACAAUCCAAGAGGCCAAUAAAACAAACAAUGACUAUCUCCUGGGGACCCUGCAAUAAAAAAAAAAAAAUGUCGUCAGCCAAAAAUUGUGCCUUUGAUGGCUCUUCAGGCAAGACAUCAACAAUCUGUACAACUGCUAAUCCUCUCAUGUGGUUUUACACUCACUGCCCUCUAGACCUGUGCCUGGAUUUCACAUGCAGUGUUUUAAGGUCCACUUUUCUUCUCAGCUCAUCACUCUUCUGCUCCUCCUUAGGAUUCCGCCCCUGUAAGACUCUGAAUAAACAUCUCACCAGACAUUGCAUGCACAGAUGAAGGAAGCUAUCACCUGGGUAAUGCUGGUUUAGUUGCCUUUUUGCUUUUGCCAGCUAAACUGGGAAAAGUUGGUGUCUACUUGCCUUAGCUAUGUGGGUGUUGGGUGCUAGUGUGGCAGGGAAUGUGGCUGGGAUGUUCCUCACCAACACCCCAGUAAACCUGGUGGGCCUCGCCAAUGAGAGAAUUUCUGUUUCUUGUGGAAUGGAUACUCUGCCCACCCCAUUCCUCAUCCUUGUUGACAGGUGAUGAUGAUCCCUAGCAUGUUAGCAUCUAUGCAUAUUUUUAGGAUAAAAUCAGAAAGAAUAAUUUGAUUGUGUUGUGCAAGCCACAUUGUCAAAAGGCGUUCAGGACAGAUUCAGAUUUUUGUUUUGUUAUAAACAUUGCUCCUUCUCCAUAUCCCCAUCAGGGGACAGAGCUCAGAAUUAGUCCUUUUGUGUUUGUUUCCACUACACUGGGAUGGACCGGUGAGCCUUUGCUUUUUCCCAUCAGGAAGCAUAGAUUUAACGUAUUGAACGCACCAGAAUUGCUUAAUGAGUGCUCAGUGAAUAUUAAUAAAAGUUUGGACGUGACUCAGGCUACAAUGGAUGAGAAGUUUGAAAGCUUUGGUUCAAGAUUACAGGAGGCUGUGAGAAAAUAUGGUAUCCAGCAGCUAGCAUAUAGUGCAGAUAUUUCACUAUCCAGGGAUCUCUAAUUACUAAUAAUGUACAGGAACAGUAUGAUAUGUCCUUACAAUCUCAGAAUCCCUUUCAAAGAUAAUCUUUAAUAGUUUAUUUGACAACCUGUAAAAUUAUAGAAAAUUAUUAGUCUUGGGAAUUACAAAAAUCCCCAUCGCAUAGUCAAACAAUAAAAUUAUAAUUACCUGUGGGUAAUUGAAAUUUAACUGUUUUUUUUUAUUGUAUAUUACACAUCAAUAGCAACAUAAGUUCAAGAGUGUCCCCCUCCCCUCCUUUUUCUUUUCCUUACAGAAGUGGGGAAAAUGGACAACCCUGCUGGUAGCUUGUGAGCCCUUGUCACAGAACAGAGCUUGAACAAUUUCGAUUAAAGCAGUAUGUUCGAGACUGUCAUUAGACCUGCAUUAAAUUACAUAUCUGGAAUGUUAAAAAUAAAGAGUACUGAAGCUUAUUCACAGCUGCCUGUCGUAAAGUAUGUAGUCAAGGUUUUGAUUAUCUUUAAAGUUCUUAUUUUUCUCUUUUCUAAAACUUACUGUUUCAUCAAACAAACAUCUAGCACAUUUAAGAACAGUAUGAGCACAUGAGCAGAAUUGCUUAUGAUGGAUAAAGCAUUAAUAUGUUUCCAUUCUGUGCUCAGUAGUAUUGUUUAGUACUAACAAUGGUAAUUUAUCAAUUAUACAAGAGGGAACAAAGCUCUUAGAAGUCUCUCAGCUCUGAAUCUACCUAUUACAAGGUCCAAAGCUUCAGACCCUUUCUAGACCUUGGGAGGCUUCAUUUAAUGUUAGCAUUUGCAUUACCAAGUUUUGCCUUGUCCUUUCUUAGUGAUCCCAUGGAAGCUGCUCAGUACUCAGCACCAUGGCACAUCAAGACUUCCAUGGCUUUUUUUCCCAGAAAAAUUAUAACCUUUUUUCUUUUUUCCUUCUGAACUAGGGAUCUUGAUAACAAAGCACGACUGUUCACUAGCUCUCCCGUCUGCAGCCUGCUCUUCUGGUCUAGUAGGAGCAGCCCGAUAGAUGAAGGGACAGAUGGAAGCUUUGUGGCGAUGCCUCUUGCAGCACAGCACGGUUAAGGCAACCCAAGGAUGACCCUUCGGCCAAUAUUGUCAUCCAGCAGGGACAGAUUAAUGUGAAACACACAGGCUACUGCUUGGUUGAAGGAAACAUCCCUGAGCUGCCCUGUGAUUUUAUACCCAGUCAUGCUGCUGGAAACCAAAGGCAAACAGCACAGAGAAGACCAUGGAUUUCCUUCUCAUUUAGGGUUAAGCCAGGAGUCUGAGACAAGAGUCCUAUCACCAAAUUUACUUCCCUGAACAUCAACAAAAAUGGGCCCAAACAUCUACUAUUUCAGCAGUAGUUCCUCAGGCAGGGAGUCCAUAGGCAUUGAGCUCUCAGUUACUGGCUUGGUGAGGCAGUGACUACAGUCAGCCGUGAGCUGUUUGGCCAUCUCCUCAAGGCACUCAAGGGGAAAAAAGGGAAGACUUGGUGUGGACAGUGCCAGCAGACUUGUUCUUCAAAAGAAAAGGUUUUUUUUUUUCCCCAGGAAAAAAAAGAAAAAAAAGUCUUUGGUUUGAACAUUGUUUCCAUCCUUACUAAACCUGGCCUUGACUAAGAAGAAUACAAAUAAGCUGAUCAUAAAUUAACAGUCAUCCCUGUUGUGAACACGCACGUGCAUACCUGGCCAAGGCAGGCAAAAGCAGAUUGAUUAAACAACAAAGUUCACCUUGUU